Long non-coding RNA from Triticum urartu, 3299 nucleotides. RefSeq lists it as uncharacterized. The record is from RefSeq and is a predicted model, not a curated record. NCBI's taxonomy places the organism in Eukaryota, Viridiplantae, Streptophyta, Magnoliopsida, Poales, Poaceae.
AUUAUCAUGAAUAAGGAAAUAUAAUAAUAACUAAUUUAUUAUUGCCUUUAGGGCAUAUUUCCAACACUUCCCUCGCGCGUCGCACGUCCUGUGGCAGGGGCGAGGGGCCCAUUGGACAUAACCGCACCAAACCCUAGCCCCCCGUCCACAGCCAUCUGCUCCUUCUCAUAGCCGCCGCACCAUUCCUCCCUUUUGACCCCUCCUCCUUCCCGGAUCCCACCACGGCGGCGACCUGCAGGCAAAGGGCGACAGCGGCGGCGCUCAGUUAGAUCUGUAGGAGAGAGAAGAUGAGAGGGAGAGAGAGGAGGGAGAAAGAUAGGAAGAGGAGAGGAGGCACGGCGUCGGAUGGGAGAGUGGCCAACCCGGCUCACGUCAGCUGGGGCCGCACCCCUCCCCGAAGGGCGGCGAUGAUGGGGGGAUCCACCGGCGCAAUCCAGGCUCCCGACCAACGGACUCGCUGGGUCACCGCCCGUCCCGUGCGGCGGGGACAUCCAUGGCGGCGCGGGCUGGGGACCGAGCGGCGGGGCCCGUGAUGCGUUCCGGUCGAGGGAUUGGUCGGGCCGACGCGGGAUCUUAGCCGCCGUCGAUGGAUUUCUCGCAGCUUGGCUACCUGUUGCUUUGGAUCCGGUUUAGCAGCGGGCAAUGCUCAAGACAGAGUUGGGCGCACAUCAUAUAUAUAUAUAUAUACAUAUGUUGUCGUGUCUUAAUAAAUGGAGAUGAGCAGAAGUAGAGAUGAGAUAUCUAUCCGCCUGUCAUCCUUCCAAGACUUGGGUUUGUCAUCUCUGUCAGCGUCCGCCUCCACUUCCUUCGUUGGUUGUCGUUUCUUUGUACACUGCUGUACUUUAGAGAUCAUAAUAUAUUUUCCAUGGGUACAAUUGAAUACGACACCCAAUUUUCUAUAUAAUUGUUCAGCUCUCUCUCAUAGCGAUUCAUACAAAAUAUCAUGCAUAGUGGUCCCAGCUUAAGUAGAAUAUAACCAUUGGAUUGUUCAAACUUUGCUCGUGUUUCGCAGGGCACCAUAACUCUAAUCCGACAUGAGUAGUGCAACCACGACAGUGAGCAGUGGAACCGCAAGAUAGAGAUAGAUACAAGUAGAAUAUAACUGGUCAUAUUUCUAAAAUGAUCACACUACUUAUGGUGCCGGAAGAGAAGGCAUUAGUGAUAGUGGGCUUGGUGAUGAGGGCAUCAAUACGAAGAGAUUAAUUCACAACUUUGUUCUUGAUAGGUUGUACAAAUAUACAAGGUACUACUGUUUCCUUCUAUGUUUAAAUAGCUUUGUGAGUACAAUUAUAUGAAAAUUUUGCGAUUCAUGGUGCGGAAGCGGGCAUCUUUGUUUUCCUGACCAAAAAUACUUAGUUUCAUGCCUCCAUGGUAUAAUUUAGAGGCACAGUCCAAUGAGAGAUUCCUACUUAGCUAGCUAAUAUAUAACGUUUGACGGUACUGUCUUGUGUUGUAAAGACAAAAUAUGCUACAUGAGCAUUACUUUUAUUUUGAAUUUAAUUUUGUGUUUGAGCCUCUUUUACAUAUUAAGUGUAAUAUCACAGACUUUCUUCUUUCAGGGUUAACUGGCCAUGCAAAAACUGUUGUGAGGCAUUAAAUGGUACUCCCUCUGCAAACUAAUAUAAGAUCGUUUAGAUCACUAUUUUAGUAUUCUAAACACUCUUAUAUUAGUUUACGGGGGGAGUACUAUAUGUUUUUGGCUUGCUUUUGUUCACUUUUGUCCUUUCCAAAGUGGAAUAAGAAAAUAAAGUCAAAACAGGCUCAACCAUGACUACUCUGCUCUUGUGAUCACCAAUUUCUGCUCCAUUGCACACAAGAAAGUAGUGACUAUUUAUUUGCUUAAACAAUAUGUCCAGCGCUGCCUGUCCUGCUAAUAUUCCUUUAUGGAUGUAUCGCACAAAUUUCAGUUAUUGGAUAUGAAAUGUAGGUUCUCUACUCAGAGCUUGGUCCAAUGGUCAAUGCAGCUCUAUGUUGUGAUAUCCUAUUGGGAUCUUUUUUCGUUACUUAAAAUGGUCAGAUAUCUCUGAUGUUACAUUCGUGGUUGAUUGCUUAUAUCCAAAAUAACUAUGUUAGUACACUGAAGCCAAUUUCUACAUUGUUAGUGAAGUUGGCUAAAUUUAGUCCAACAUUUCUAGUAUGUAUCUUCUUCUGCUAUCAAUGUUAAUUCUGCCAUAAGCAUAUUACUCUCCUAGCAUUUUUUUCUUCCGAUGAAAAACAGACACUUGUUCAGUUUUUUACUACAUAGAAAAAGAUAAGUUCAAUUUGGUUUCUAAUGUUCAUGUCGGCCUUUGCCUAAGCAAAAAAAGGUAACCAGUUUAUAUUGUAAUCUUGUUUUUUGUUUCUCUUUGAUUCAACCUUUUUUUUGUGUGUUGUCUAACUGUUAGAUUGUCUGGAACAUCUCGGAACAACCUUUCGUGUCCCCGAUAUUAUCUCGUUUCCUGAACAAUAUUAUUUUAUUUGCUUUAUCUGCCACCAUGAAUUCCUAGAGUUCCUUUCUCUCCUUCCAAUUGACAUUCUUAGAUGUGAUUCUAUUAGAAAUUUUGUGCCAUGACAGAAGUAAUGGUUGAUUGCUCUGCUUUAGCCUUUAUGUCAGUUGUUGCUGAGGGUCCAAUUUCUCAUUUUUCAGAAUUUGUAGUAGCAGGGAUGUGUAUAAUAUGGAUAACUGAACUGGUGUUUAGGGGUUGCAGUGCAGGACAACUACUUGCUCGAUUAGUUAGAUCAACUGGUGUUUGGAGAUUUCAGUGCGAGUGAUGUUCCAGUUUCGAUUGCAGGGCUUCGAGAUGCACCAUGAGGAUUGAAACAAGUCUUAUAUAGGGCUGCUAAAUUAUUAUACUUUUGGUCUUUUCUAAAUUUAGUUAGCAUAAAUACUUCCAGAAUACCUCUUAUAAUAUGGAAGUCUGUUGGUAACAACACUAAUUUUUCCAGUUUGUGGAACAUGCUUCAUUUUUGCAGGUUCAAGAAGGAAGAGAACAUUGGAGAAAAAUGCAGCAGGACGGAUUCUCUAAGCUUUCUCAAAUGUUUGAACAAUUAGAAGAUAGUUACAAUCAUUUUUCUCUUGCCUUAUUACAUCUUGAUGUUAAUAGGCUUUGGAAGGUACUAUGCGCCCCGUUCAAGGUUUACAGAAUUUGCACCAUCCUAUUACAGUUUGUUCUGAUGACAUAAUUGACCAGUUCUUCCUUGAGUAAAUUAAUAUUGCGGCCGCUACUCCUUUGUGCAUUGUUACAUAGAGUUAUAUAAUUGUGAAGGUGUGUACACAUCAACAUAUAAUUCCCAUGAUCCUAUUACAGAUUGUUCUACAA